GACGAAGGGGGCUAGCGUUGUUCGGAAUUACUGGGCGUAAAGGGCGUGUAGGCGGAUGCAUAAGUCUGGUGUAAAAUCCCUCGGCUCAACCGAGGAAGGCCAUCAGAUACUGUGUAUCUUGAGUGCGGGAGGGGAGAAUGGAACUCUUGGUGGAGCGGUGAAAUGCGUAGAUAUCAAGAGGAACGCCGGUGGCGAAAGCGGUUCUCUGGCCCGUUACUGACGCUGAGGCGCGAAAGCUAGGGGAGCAAACGGG
This 253-nucleotide ribosomal RNA is filed under the name uncultured bacterium. RNAcentral's name for it is "partial 16S ribosomal RNA". It matches the Rfam family "Bacterial small subunit ribosomal RNA", at positions 524 to 776 of the family's 1533-position model. The record is from RNAcentral.